Molecule: non-coding RNA, 121 nt
Organism: Caenorhabditis elegans
Lineage: Eukaryota; Metazoa; Nematoda; Chromadorea; Rhabditida; Rhabditidae
Source: Ensembl
UCUACCUACAAAAUUACUUUUUACUUGUUCCAAAACAUACAAGGCUAAUUUCAAGAAUUUAUAAUUGAUUGAGAUUUUUCGGUAAGUACAUAACUGUCACUACACUAUUUAGAAGUUAUGU